AUUGAACGCUGGCGGCAGGCCUAACACAUGCAAGUCGAGCGGAUGAAGGGAGCUUGCUCCUGGAUUCAGCGGCGGACGGGUGAGUAAUGCCUAGGAAUCUGCCUGGUAGUGGGGGAUAACGUCCGGAAACGGGCGCUAAUACUGCCUACGUCCUGAGGGAGAAAGUGGGGGGUCUUCGGACCGCACGCUAUCAGAUGAGCCUAGGUCGGAUUAGCUAGUUUGUGGGGUGAAGGCCUACCAAGGCGACGAUCCGUAACUGGUCUGAGAGGAUGAUCAGUCACACUGGAACUGAGACACGGUCCAGACUCCUACGGGACGGCGCAGUGGGGAAUAUUGGACAGUGGGCGAAAGCCUGAUCCAGCCGUGCCACGUGUGUGAAGAAGGUCUUCGGAUUGUAAAGCACUUUAAGUUGGGAGGAAGGGCAGUAAGUUAAUACCUUGCUGUUUUGACGUUACCAACAGAAUAAGCACCGGCUAACUUCGUG
This 484-nucleotide ribosomal RNA is filed under the name uncultured bacterium. RNAcentral describes it as "partial 16S ribosomal RNA". It matches the Rfam family "Bacterial small subunit ribosomal RNA", at positions 30 to 507 of the family's 1533-position model. The record is from RNAcentral.